CACAUGGAUGCAGGAGAGAGCGGAGACAUGCUUCCAACAUGGCUUUCCGCCGCCGAAGGCGCAACCGGCCCCCGGAACCGCUCAGGCAAAAGGGCUGCAGUUCAUUA
RNAcentral lists this non-coding RNA (107 nucleotides) under Acidocella aminolytica. Its description in RNAcentral is "Glycine sequence". It matches the Rfam family "Glycine riboswitch aptamer". Rfam says of the family: This family represents the bacterial glycine riboswitch. Glycine riboswitches usually consist of two metabolite-binding aptamers domains with similar structures in tandem. RNAcentral also lists the same sequence under 1 other name. The record is from RNAcentral. Lineage: Bacteria; Pseudomonadati; Pseudomonadota; Alphaproteobacteria; Acetobacterales; Acidocellaceae.